RNAcentral lists this ribosomal RNA (222 nucleotides) under uncultured bacterium. Its description in RNAcentral is "partial 16S ribosomal RNA". It matches the Rfam family "Bacterial small subunit ribosomal RNA", at positions 109 to 334 of the family's 1533-position model. The record is from RNAcentral.
AGUAAUGUAUGGGGAUCUGCCCGAUAGAGGGGGGUAACUACUGGAAACGGUGGCUAAUACCGCAUAGUGUCUACGGACCAAAGCAGGGGCUCUUCGGACCUUGCACUAUCGGAUGAACCCAUAUGGGAUUAGCUAGUAGGUGGGGUAAAGGCUCACCUAGGCGACGAUCUCUAGCUGGUCUGAGGGGAUGAUCAGCCACACUGGGACUGAGACACGGCCCAG